RNAcentral lists this ribosomal RNA (238 nucleotides) under uncultured bacterium. RNAcentral describes it as "partial 16S ribosomal RNA". It matches the Rfam family "Bacterial small subunit ribosomal RNA", at positions 96 to 334 of the family's 1533-position model. The record is from RNAcentral.
CGGCGGACGGGUGAGUAACGCGUGGGUAACCUGCCUCAUACAGGGGGAUAACAGUUGGAAACGGCUGCUAAUACCGCAUAAGCGCACAGUACCGCAUGGUACGGUGUGAAAAACUCCGGUGGUAUGAGAUGGACCCGCGUCUGAUUAGGUAGUUGGUGGGAUAACGGCCUACCAAGCCGACGAUCAGUAGCCGACCUGAGAGGGUGACCGGCCACAUUGGGACUGAGACACGGCCCAA